RNAcentral lists this ribosomal RNA (379 nucleotides) under uncultured eukaryote. RNAcentral describes it as "partial 18S ribosomal RNA". It matches the Rfam family "Eukaryotic small subunit ribosomal RNA", at positions 592 to 976 of the family's 1831-position model. The record is from RNAcentral.
CAAUAGCGUAUAUUUAAGUUGUUGCAGUUAAAAAGCUCGUAGUUGGAUUUCGGGUGUCAUCUGCCGGUCCGCCGUGUCGGUGUGCACUGGCGGGCGUCAUCUUUCUGUCGAGGACGCGCUCCUGUCCUUCACUGGUCGGGACGCGGAGUCGGCGAGGUUACUUUGAAAAAAUUAGAGUGUUCAAAGCGGGCUUACGCUUGAAUAUAUUAGCAUGGAAUAACACUAUAGGACUCCUGUUCUAUUUUGUUGGUCUUCGGGACGGGAGUAAUGAUUAAGAGGAGCAGUUGGGGGCAUUCGUAUUUCAUUGUCAGAGGUGAAAUUCUUGGAUUUAUGAAAGACGAACUUCUGCGAAAGCAUUUGCCAAGGAUGUUUUCAUUAA